GAUGAACGCUGGCGGCGUGCCUAAUACAUGCAAGUCGAGCGAACGGACGAGAAGCUUGCUUCUCUGAUGUUAGCGGCGGACGGGUGAGUAACACGUGGAUAACCUACCUAUAAGACUGGGAUAACUUCGGGAAACCGGAUCUAAUACCGGAUGAUAUUUUGAACCGCAUGGUUCAAAAGUGAAAGACGGUCUUGCUGUCACUUAUAGAUGGAUCCGCGCUGCAUUAGCUAGUUGGUAAGGUAACGGCUUACCAAGGCAACGAUGCAUAGCCGACCUGGGAGGGUGAUCGGCCACACUGGAACUGAGACACGGUCCAGACUCCUACGGGAGGCAGCAGUAGGGAAUCUUCCGCAAUGGGCGAAAGCCUGACGGAGCAACGCCGCGUGAGUGAUGAAGGUCUUCGGAUCGUAAAACUCUGUUAUUAGGGAAGAACAUAUGUGUAAGUAACUGUGCACAUCUUGACGGUACCUAAUCAGAAAGCCACGGCUAACUACGUG
This 497-nucleotide ribosomal RNA is filed under the name uncultured bacterium. RNAcentral describes it as "partial 16S ribosomal RNA". It matches the Rfam family "Bacterial small subunit ribosomal RNA", at positions 28 to 507 of the family's 1533-position model. The record is from RNAcentral.